Molecule: long non-coding RNA, 161 nt
Organism: Chelonia mydas (Green sea turtle)
Lineage: Eukaryota; Metazoa; Chordata; Testudines; Cheloniidae
Exons: 2
Source: RefSeq, a predicted model, not a curated record
GCUGGCUGUAUGGAUACUUAGGGCAGCUUGCUACUGGAUAAGUAUGCUGAAGAAAGGAUAAAGGAUGUAUAAAAGUCUGUAACUUCCUGCUCGGUUUGCAGGAUUUGAGAUUAAUGUCUCCCUGCACCACUUGAAGCUUCAAAUAAACUUUUCCGCUUCUC